GACGAACGCUGGCGGCGUGCUUAACACAUGCAAGUCGAACGGAAACGCCCUGCUUUUGUGGGGUGCUCGAGUGGCGAACGGGUGCGUAACACGUGAAUAACCUGCCCUUGACUUUGGGAUAACUUCAGGAAACUGGAGCUAAUACCGGAUAGGAGCUCCUGCUGCAGGGAGGGGGUUGGAACGUUUCGGCGGUUGGGGAUGGACUGGCGGCUUAUCAGCUUGUUGGUGGGGUAGUGGCUUGCCAAGGGUUUGACGGGUAGCCGGCCUGAGAGGGUGACCGGCCACAUUGGGACUGCGGUACGGCCCAGUCGGCAACGUGAGGCAGCGGUGGGGAGUAUGGCACAAUGGGCGGAAGCCUGAUGCAGCAACGCCGCGUGCGGGAUGACGGCCUGCGGGUUGUAAACCGCUGUCGCCUGUGACGAAGCGGGAGUGACGGUAAUGGGUAAAGAAGCACCGGCUAACUACGUG
Molecule: ribosomal RNA, 468 nt
Filed under: uncultured bacterium
Lineage: Bacteria
Description: partial 16S ribosomal RNA
Rfam family: Bacterial small subunit ribosomal RNA
Source: RNAcentral